UACGUAGGGGGCAAGCGUUGUCCGGAUUUAUUGGGCGUAAAAGGCUUGUAGGUGGCCACGCCAAGUCGGAUGUGAAAUCUCCCGGCUCAACUGGGAGGGGUCAUUCGAUACUGGCGGGCUCGAGGCCGGUAGGGGGAAGUGGAAUUCCCGGUGUAGUGGUGGAAUGCGUAGAUAUCGGGAGGAACACCAGUGGCGAAGGCGGCUUCCUGGACCGGUUCUGACGCUGAGGUGCGAAAGCGUGGGGAGCAAACAGG
Molecule: ribosomal RNA, 254 nt
Filed under: uncultured bacterium
Lineage: Bacteria
Description: partial 16S ribosomal RNA
Rfam family: Bacterial small subunit ribosomal RNA
Source: RNAcentral